CUACGUGCCAGCAGCCGCGGUAAUACGGAAGGUCCAGGCGUUAUCCGGAUUUAUUGGGUUUAAAGGGAGCGUAGGCCGUGGAUUAAGCGUGUUGUGAAAUGUGGACGCUCAACGUCUGAAUUGCAGCGCGAACUGGUUCACUUGAGUAUGCACAACGUAGGCGGAAUUCGUCGUGUAGCGGUGAAAUGCUUAGAUAUGACGAAGAACUCCGAUUGCGAAGGCAGCUUACGGGAGCACAACUGACGCUGAAGCUCGAAGGUGCGGGUAUCAAACAGGAUUAGAUACCCUGGUAGUCCGCACAGUAAACGAUGGAUGCCCGCUGUUGGUACCUGGUAUCAGCGGCUAAGCGAAAGCAUUAAGCAUCCCACCUGGGGAGUACGCCGGCAACGGUGAAACUCAAAGGAAUUGACGGGGGCCCGCACAAGCGGAGGAACAUGUGGUUUAAUUCGAUGAUACGCGAGGAACCUUACCCGGGCUUGAAUUGCAGAGGAAGGAUUUAGAGAUA
This 505-nucleotide ribosomal RNA is filed under the name uncultured bacterium. RNAcentral's name for it is "bacterial SSU rRNA". It matches the Rfam family "Bacterial small subunit ribosomal RNA", at positions 501 to 1008 of the family's 1533-position model. The record is from RNAcentral.